Long non-coding RNA from Eptesicus fuscus (big brown bat), 906 nucleotides. RefSeq lists it as uncharacterized. The transcript has 3 exons. NCBI's taxonomy places the organism in Eukaryota, Metazoa, Chordata, Mammalia, Chiroptera, Vespertilionidae. The record is from RefSeq and is a predicted model, not a curated record.
GUGCGGGGGGCCCUGGACACGCGCUGCACCGAGUCCUCCCGCUUCGCCGGCGCCGGUGAAGGGCCUUUCCCAACGCGGCGGCCCCGCCCCGCCCCCACGCGGGCCGCGAGCGCCCGUCCCGACGGCUCCACUGUCAUGUUCAUAGCAUAUUGGACGUGUUCCUGGGACGUAUUUUUAUCAGCGACUCAACCCAGUUUGAAAAGAAAAGACUUAAGGCUCUUUACAAGUCAAGACACACAAAGCACAGACGAUGGCAUGGAGGCAGGGACGAGCCUCGUGCAGCCGUGGCCAGCACGAAGGCCUGUUCGGGAAAGGCCGCGUCCAGAUCGGAGCCGUGUCCCUUGGCAGCUGUGUGACCCCAGGCGUGCUCAUUAACCCCCAGGGAAGUCUCUUCACUGAAAACCACGGGAUCGCCUUCACUGAAAACGGAAAUGGGGUGAAAAGUUGGGCCUUCAUGCUAGAUGCUUGUGAGGCCUGCGUGCCUUCCGGCGCGCACAGCGCCCAGGGGCCCAGGGACGGCGGCAGUGGGUCCGGGGCUGGGCCAUCACCCUCACUCUUUGAAUUAACUGGCGUUACCCACCGGAAAGGAAGCCGUCACAACGUCGGUGCUUGGAUUUCUAACAGCCAACCGUGUUCACACACAUAAAUCCAGGUAGAGCUUUCCAGAAAGGUUGAACACGUCACUCAAGUAAUGAGAUUGGCUGGUACCUAGUGGUAUAAAUCUGAGAAAAUGUCAUAGAUGAAUUUCCCCAUCCCCAUCCAAAGCUCAAUUUGGGUGAUGUUUAUGAGGUAACCACGGGCUAGAUUAUGAACCUGCACAUUCGCAGAUGGCCAGCCUCUGUCAUGUAUGGCAAGGUUACAUUAGUGUUUAUGGAUUCCUAACAAAAUAAGGCAAUAAAACGUGAA